RNAcentral lists this long non-coding RNA (2027 nucleotides) under Mus musculus (house mouse). RNAcentral's name for it is "RIKEN cDNA 4930556M19 gene, transcript variant 3 (4930556M19Rik)". Lineage: Eukaryota; Metazoa; Chordata; Mammalia; Rodentia; Muridae. The record is from RNAcentral.
GACCGCCCACGCCCCGGCCCGCGGCGCGUCCCGGACGUCCACGCUUGCGUUUCUGCGGAUCGUGGGAAUCCUUCUGCGUGGGAGUUUUAGAAAUGCUAACCGAGCUCAGGUUUUGAACAUGUCUGGGACUGUGAAUUGGCUGCCAGAAUGAAAACAGUUUAGGCUAAUCCCUACGGGUAUGCUGCUGCCAAGUUGGUUCUUUUACUGUGCUCAUCAGAAGUGCCAGAAAAAUACCCGCACCCGCCCCCCAUUUAGCCUCUGGAAGAAGAUGUUCUAAAGGGCUCACAAACAUCCAGAUGUAGCUCUUACCAAGCUCCAGCGUCAGAAGGAGUGCCUCAGCGUCUAAGUCCGUAUAUACACACACGGCUUUUCAUGCAUCCUCUGCUGGGGAGGUCACAAUCUGAGGCACCCUUUAAAGCCACUUCUGGGAGAAAAGAAAGAGAAAAAAAAAAAUCAACCACUGAACGUCUAGUGAGCUGUUUCCUAAGGAGGCAUCAACAAACUCCUACCAGCCCCAGUCCUCAGUAACGUCAUGAGAUGGGCUGCUUGUGGUUGUCAAAACUGAUCUUCCCACUGCGGGUGAACACGUACGGCGGAUUGUUAUGGCUUAGGGCGCUUGACUGCACCGCUGUGAAAAUAUUCAGCAGAAUUCCACAAGCUCUUUGUUUGCCUUGCCUUAGUGGAAAUUCCUCCAGCUAUCCAAACACGCACCUGGGGGAGGUGUUUUUUUUUUCCCCCUCCACAUUUCAGGAAGGGGUUUCUUCUAAGUAAAAAUGUGUCCUUACCUCUCUUCUAAGUUCUCAGGCAAGACUUCUGGUUUGAGUUGAAGAUGACUAUGAAUGUGUUCUGGUUGGAAAGGGAGGUGGAGUUGGAGGAGCCGGAGAGGUCUGUAGCAAAUGUUCCUCCAACAGAGCUAAGCUGGGAAAAGGAAAGCCAAUGGAAGCCAACAAAGAAGGAAGCACGAAGCAAGGCUCCCCCAGAUUCCUAGAAGCCCAGGAACACAAAAGCCAGGAAGAUGAAUCGUCUUUUACAGUAGUAGACCUGUAUAUAGGAACGGGGAAGAUUCUAGGGUGAAAGAUCCGGGCUGCCGCUGGUCACCCAGAAGGGAGUAUGUACCUUGAGUUUCGUAACACGGAAUGGAAGUUUGGAGGCCCCUUGAAAAGAACCAAAGCACAAAGGAAGUUGGGCCUGAAGAAGGCUGGGAGACCUCUCACGCAGAGACCCAGGGCUCAGGACAGAGAAAGGAAGGUAGAACGCCAAGUGGAUCUCAUAUUUGCUCUGCGGGCUUCUGGGAAGUGUUUGAAAACAUUCUAUUUAAACUGUGCCUCUUAAGAGAGCUCUCCACUUACAUCUAACUCAGUGUGCUCAUAUUAGCAAAUAGAAAUUAUGGGAACAUUCCAAGUGCUCCCCGCCUUCCUGGUCCUCCCUCCCUGACCCCGAUAGUCUGUCCUGCCUGGAGUCUGGGCGAAUGUUUGUUUCUGAGGGAUGGAAACUGAUUAAAAACUAGAAGGCUGCUUGGGAAAAAUUUUAUAAUAGCAUGUGUGAGGUGAGUUCCACAGAAGGCUAGGGAGGGCAGGAAGGCCCCGUGCAGCCAGGGCUCCAUGCAGGCCAUCUGAAAAAAGAGGCUCCUCUUCCAACCCAGAGCUGUUGUCUUAAUUGUGGUGGAACUGCUUUUCAUAUUCCCUUAGCUUUUUAACACUAAACCAAGAUGAGAAAUUGAGAAAUGAACAUUUGUUUGGUUUUUUUUCUUUUUUUCUUUUUUUUUUUUUUUUUGAGACAGGGUUUCUCUGUGUAGCCCUGGCUGUCCUGAACUCACUCUGUAGACCAGGCUGACCUCGAACUCAGAAAUCCACCUGCCUCUGCCCCCCAAUUAAAGGCGUGCGCCACCACUGCCCGGCUUGAACAUUUGUUUUCAAGCACAUAAGGCUGAUGUGUUCAGGUAGUACGUUUAAUACUCGAUUGGUGGCAUAUAUAUAUUAAAAGGGAUGUUAAAUUGCUCAAAAAAAAAAAAAAAAAAAAAAAAAAAA